This 23-nucleotide non-coding RNA is filed under the name Cricetulus griseus (Chinese hamster). Lineage: Eukaryota; Metazoa; Chordata; Mammalia; Rodentia; Cricetidae. The record is from RNAcentral.
CCACAACAGAAAAGAAAUUAGGG